CUCUCAGACUCCACUCUGAUUGGGCCUCUAGGACCCAGGAAUGAUUGGCAGGGUGUUGAGUCACCAGGGCUCUCUGAGCAUGCGUCUCUCAGACUCCACUCUGAUUGGGUCUCUAGGAGAGAUGGCCAGGAAUGAUUGGCAAGGUGCUGAGUCACCAGAGCUCUCUGAGCAUGCCUCUCCCAGACUCCACUCUGAUUGGGCCUCUAGGACCCAGGAAUGAUUGGCAGGGUGCUGAGUCACCAGGGCUCUCUAAGCGUGCGUCUCCCAGAAUCCACUCCCUAGAUUGCCCUGGGUGUUUGCGAACCUCGAGGAGAGGAGGAUUUGAGCGGGGAAAAUGUUACUGAAAGUCAGGCUGGGAGGACAGACACGCAUGCGCUUGGGCUGGAGCCACAGCGAUGUCUUGGGCCUCUCCUGGGGGACUGGAGGGCACGCUGGCCUGGGCGAGGCCCACCCUGAAGUGGCGGAGGGGAGGACCCCAGCCCCACCCGCGACGCCUUCGCUGCAGCCCCCAGGGCUCGGACAAAGCCUGCAGGCACCGGCUAAAGGUCGUCAAGUAAUUCGAAAUGGAGAAGAAAGGCUAUCCGAUGUGGCGGCUGUAAGAGUGAGAUUUGUCAGGAAGCCACAGAAGGGACCCUUCUCCCUUUCUCUGCCCCGAGCUGUGGGAGGGCAGAGGGGGAGGUGGCCCUGCCCCAGCCCUGCUCUGCCGGGGGAAGGAGAGGAUGAAGCCUCCGCGACCUCCUGGUCUCCCAACACAACACAAAGCCCGAGAAGCACCUGAAACCUGGAGAAGUUUCCAUGGAAACUGCAGCCCGCUUCCGUGUUUCCAUUCCGCUGACAUCUGAAUGAAUGGGAGCCGAGGAACCAACGCUUUGGCUCUGCUGCGUACACAAAGCACUAAUGGUUUUAUCUCAAGGUCAUUAUUAACCUCCACUGCAGUGUCGCUUCUGUCCUGCGUUCACAGGAUCCCACAGGCCUGAGUGGCUCGGAAAAAUCUGGGAUCAGCUGUCAAGCACAGUAUGUUUUUGCAUGCCCAUUAGUUAUUGUAGGAGCCUGAGACUUACUUCUUCAUUUAUGCAGUCAUUUUAAUAGCAAGCGAUUAGCAUUUUCUUGGUCUAAAACAACACUUCCGGUAUAUUUUAAUCUGAAUAGCUUCUUAUGACUAAUGCUACUUUCUGCUUUCAUAGCUGUCCUUUCUCUUCAGGUUAGAUGAAGCUGGACAGGAUCACAUGUCUUUUGACCUCUGUUGCCUGUGCAACUCUCACCUCAUCCCAAUGCAGACAUGUAGGAAGGAGGAGGCUCGCAGAGGACAGACACAGAAAAAAAUCACCUGCGAAGGAACUCAUCCGAGAGCAACCCACAAUGUCUGUAAGUCAGUAAUCUGUUUGUUUAUGCAUUUCUUUCUUCUGCUCUUUUGAGACAGGGUCUGGAUAGUUAGCUCAGCCUGGCCUUGAACUCACCACAGUCCUCCUGCCUCAGCCUCUUGUAAGGCCACGCCCAGGUUUUGAACCCUAUUUUUAACAACUAUAGAAAAUCCAAUAGCUCUGGCAGACAUCACAGAGGUGGUUGGCAGCGGAAUGCUUUUGCAUGUGUGCUGACAGGGUCUGCUGUACAGUCCAGGCCGUGCUUAGCUCACGCAGUAUCCCUCACUGGCCUCCAGGCCUGCUCCGCAUCCAGCAGAGGGCUGGGAGCACAGGUGUGUGGCACCAGCCCACCUGCAGAGCUAUUCAGUUUGGUUGCUUUAGGAGUCUGCGUGGUUUCAGUGGUUCUCAUGUGAUCACCAUUUUCAGUGUCACAUUUGCGCACUGUAAUGCUUGGGUCAACACUCCGGGCAAAGCCAACGACACAGUGAAGAAGAG
Fukomys damarensis (Damara mole-rat) is the source of this 1856-nucleotide long non-coding RNA. The record is from Ensembl. NCBI's taxonomy places the organism in Eukaryota, Metazoa, Chordata, Mammalia, Rodentia, Bathyergidae.